This is a long non-coding RNA of Anoplopoma fimbria (sablefish), 716 nucleotides long. RefSeq lists it as uncharacterized. Lineage: Eukaryota; Metazoa; Chordata; Actinopteri; Perciformes; Anoplopomatidae. The record is from RefSeq and is a predicted model, not a curated record. The transcript is spliced from 2 exons.
UUGUCCAAACCCUGCUCUGUCUACAUAAAGACUUGGAACAGGACGCCAUCGAACCCAAAUGCACCACAUAUCACCUCGUGAACCUGCAGCUCCGUACGCACGACUGGACUUUUAACUGUUUGGAAAGACAAAAAGACGAGCUGGUGUGAGAGGGAAGGAGCAGAGAAGAGAGAGUAGCUGUGAGAAUCAGGAGCAGGAGAUGAAUGGAAGAAUCCUGGAGAGAGGAUCAACUCCAGAGACUUGAGGUCGUCCAUCUACCAGUUUGUAUUAACAUCCUCUCCGUCUGCAGUAUCUACAGUCAAUGUUGUCCUCCAGAGCUGUGGAGUGUGACAAUGGUGUUUGUGUACUGUGUAUCAAACGCCAUUAUCACACUAAAUAGCUACAGUGUGAAACCAACCUCAAAAUAUUCCCGGUUUGCAUGGUUUAUUUGAAUUUUUUUCUAUUUUAUUUGUUUUGUGGCUUAUGUAUUCUCUGAAUUUUCUUUUUAAAGUAUUUGUGAUAGUUUUCUAGUUCAUUCUGUAAAGCCUAAAUUCACAUUACGGACACAUUACACUAUGGAAGAGGGACAGAGAUGAAAAUAGAGUGUGUUGGUACAUAGCACAUGAUCUUUAGCCUCUGAGUGUGACCCACUUACUUUCAUGUUUGAGGUGGUAAUUUGCUGCUGGAGACCUUCGACUGUCUGUAAAAAUAAAACUAGACGUACCAUUUGUUUUCAA